RNAcentral lists this ribosomal RNA (465 nucleotides) under Vreelandella stevensii. RNAcentral's name for it is "partial 16S ribosomal RNA". It matches the Rfam family "Bacterial small subunit ribosomal RNA", at positions 338 to 795 of the family's 1533-position model. The record is from RNAcentral. Lineage: Bacteria; Pseudomonadati; Pseudomonadota; Gammaproteobacteria; Oceanospirillales; Halomonadaceae.
CCUACGGGGGGCUGCAGUGGGGAAUAUUGGACAAUGGGGGGAACCCUGAUCCAGCCAUGCCGCGUGUGUGAAGAAGGCCCUCGGGUUGUAAAGCACUUUCAGUGAGGAAGAACGCCUGGUGGUUAAUACCCAUCAGGAAAGACAUCACUCACAGAAGAAGCACCGGCUAACUCCGUGCCAGCAGCCGCGGUAAUACGGAGGGUGCGAGCGUUAAUCGGAAUUACUGGGCGUAAAGCGCGCGUAGGUGGCUUGAUAAGCCGGUUGUGGAAGCCCCGGGCUCAACCUGGGAACGGCAUCCGGAACUGUCAAGCUAGAGUGCAGGAGAGGAAGGUAGAAUUCCCGGUGUAGCGGUGAAAUGCGUAGAGAUCGGGAGGAAUACCAGUGGCGAAGGCGGCCUUCUGGACUGACACUGACACUGAGGUGCGAAAGCGUGGGUAGCAAACAGGAUUAGAUACCCUUGUAGUC